Molecule: ribosomal RNA, 459 nt
Filed under: uncultured bacterium
Lineage: Bacteria
Description: partial 16S ribosomal RNA
Rfam family: Bacterial small subunit ribosomal RNA
Source: RNAcentral
CCUACGGGAGGCUGCAGUGAGGAAUAUUGGUCAAUGGACGAGAGUCUGAACCAGCCAAGUAGCGUGAAGGAUGACUGCCCUAUGGGUUGUAAACUUCUUUUAUAUGGGAAUAAAAUGUUCCACGUGUGGGAUUUUGUAUGUACCAUAUGAAUAAGGAUCGGCUAACUCCGUGCCAGCAGCCGCGGUAAUACGGAGGAUCCGAGCGUUAUCCGGAUUUAUUGGGGUUAAAGGGAGGGUAGGGGGAUUGUUAAGUCAGGGGUCAAACCCCGGGGCUAAACCCCGGCCCGCCGUUGAAACUGGCAGUCUCGAGUUGGAGAGAAGUAUGCGGAAUGCGCGGUGUAGCGGUGAAAUGCAUAGAUAUCGCGCAGAACUCCGAUUGCGAAGGCAGCAUGCCGGCUCCACACUGACGCUGAGGCACGAAAGCGUGGGUAUCGAACAGGAUUAGAUACCCUGGUAGUC